GGGGGGAGGAGAUCGAGAGAAUGUAUCCAACAGACCAGAUGCUGAGCCACCUGGAUCGCGACCCCGUCGAACGCAAGGGGUCACGGCCGGCGCAGUCAAGCGUGCUGGCAGAGGCACGGACGCAGGGAGAAAGGAAACGCAGCCAGAACACGUCAGCGUCCCCGAGCCCUUCCGCGGUCUGACGGGAGACCGUCCGCCCUCCGGGGGGAACCCGUUCGGGAGAUAACGGAAGACAACGUUAAGCAACGGCUGCUGAGUAUCUGAGUGGGGGGAUCUGCUACUUGAAUCCAUCACUCUUGUCAGCCCCGGCCCGAGUUGGUUCACAUCUGCUUGUUAAACGAGGCUCUUUGAUUCCAUUUGCGGAGCGCGGAGCAGAAUAAACUUUCCCUUUUACCUCAUUAUGCGAUCUGACCACUUGAGCAUUGUAAAUUCUGGAGAAUUAAUUGGAAGAAAAGGCCGGGUUUUACGAGUCCUCGCAGAUCGGGGACGCUCUCUGAGCGUAACUCGUGACAUUGUUACUCCUUUUGUUCCGCACUAAGAGACAUUUUACCGCCAUUGUUUGUAUUUUUCUAUUAUUCUGCUUUUGGCCUCAGAUUCAUAACAGUGUAGGCAAAAUUAAUCAUAAAAUUACACUGAUGAAAGGCCAUUUGACAAAUUGAAAGAGUAAGACGUUGGAGAAGUGCAAUGAAUUUGUUCAGACAUUGUUAUAUAAAAUGUCAAUUACCAGAUUUUUGUUUUAACAUGUUUUUUUUUUUUUGUUGUAGUGCACGCUGGCUAUAUUAAUACUGGAGCUAUAUUAUAAUUAAUAUGGCACAUCUUGGAGACAUGCCAAGCAGAAGUAGGAUGUUUAUAUCUAAGGUGGAUUUAAUCGCAGCCUGCAUUAUCUGCCGAGCUUGCUAGCUUUGCCGCUGGACUGCUUCAGCUAAGGCUAAACAAAUAAAUGAGAAAAUAAACAGUG
Molecule: long non-coding RNA, 958 nt
Organism: Anguilla anguilla (European eel)
Lineage: Eukaryota; Metazoa; Chordata; Actinopteri; Anguilliformes; Anguillidae
Exons: 2
Source: RefSeq, a predicted model, not a curated record